AGCAGGGUGGCCUACUGGAUAGAGCACAGGCCUGGGAGUCAGAAGGGCCCGGGUUCUAGUCCCGGCUCUGCCA
This is a non-coding RNA of Ornithorhynchus anatinus (platypus), 73 nucleotides long. Lineage: Eukaryota; Metazoa; Chordata; Mammalia; Monotremata; Ornithorhynchidae. The record is from Rfam.